GGGAAGAUGGCCGAGUGGUUAUGGCGUGUGGCUCAAGAAUGUACCUACUUUCUUCGUGAUUAAAAAUCACUGGGCUUUCUCAUAGGGAAACCUGCAGGGGUUCGAAUCCCCUUCUUCUCA
This 120-nucleotide transfer RNA is filed under the name Rhexocercosporidium sp. MPI-PUGE-AT-0058. It matches the Rfam family "tRNA". Rfam says of the family: Transfer RNA (tRNA) molecules are approximately 80 nucleotides in length. Their secondary structure includes four short double-helical elements and three loops (D, anti-codon, and T loops). Lineage: Eukaryota; Fungi; Ascomycota; Leotiomycetes; Helotiales. The record is from Rfam by way of RNAcentral.